AAAGCGGUGGCGGUGGCGGCACGAACUUUUCCGGCUCUGCCCCGCGCCCCCUGAGAAGUGACAACUUGAACGCGGGACUUUGAGGGGUCCGGAGCGGAGAGCAGUGUGCACCCUGAGACACGGUCUCUGCCCCCCCCCCCCCGCCCUCCGGGUGGCCGCUUGGCACCGCGCCCGGGCGUUCCGCACCAGAACCGACACAGCCCGAACCCUUCACCGAGGGCACCGUGAACUGCAGUGGCUACUUUCACUGUUGUGCUUCCUCCAGGUCCAUGAAGCCCUCGAGUGUGACCCCUAACCCCAGAGCGAAGUGUAGUGGGGAGGUGGUCUCCGAACCCAAGCUUCCACGUGCCCGAAACGAGGGUGGUAGUGUCAGGAUGCCAUCCUGCCUUGGAGUCAGCAGAUUAUGGACUGCAACCUCUACAAACUGUGAGCUAAAUAAACCUUUCCUCUUUUAACUUUGGAUGUUGGGUAUUUUGUCUCAGCAACAAGAAAAGUAAAUAAGACAGAAUUUGGUACCAGGAUUGGGGUCAUUGCUGUGACUAUACCUAACCUGUGGUUCAGGAGCCUUUGGGUUUGGCUUGUGGGAAGAGUUUGGAAAUGGUCUGAGAUGUGGCUGAAAAAAAAUAGAGCUGG
This 633-nucleotide long non-coding RNA is filed under the name Heterocephalus glaber (naked mole-rat). RNAcentral's name for it is "lncRNA (ENSHGLG00100028208.2)". The record is from RNAcentral. Lineage: Eukaryota; Metazoa; Chordata; Mammalia; Rodentia; Bathyergidae.